Molecule: ribosomal RNA, 449 nt
Filed under: uncultured bacterium
Lineage: Bacteria
Description: partial 16S ribosomal RNA
Rfam family: Bacterial small subunit ribosomal RNA
Source: RNAcentral
AGCGAACGCUGGCGGCAGGCCUAACACAUGCAAGUCGAACGGAUCCUUCGGGAUUAGUGGCGGACGGGUGAGUAACACGUGGGAACGUGCCCUUUGGUUCGGAACAACUCAGGGAAACUUGAGCUAAUACCGGAUGUGCCCUUCGGGGGAAAGAUUUAUCGCCAUUGGAGCGGCGCGCGUCUGAUUAGCGAGUUGGUGGGGUAAAGGCCCACCAAGGCGACGAUCAGUAGCUGGUCUGGGAGGAAGAUCAGCCACAUUGGGACGGAGACACGGCCCAAACUCCUACGGGAGGCAGCAGUGGGGAAUCUUGCGCAAUGGGCGAAAGCCUGACGCAGCCAUGCCGCGUGAAUGAUGAAGGUCUUAGGAUUGUAAAAUUCUUUCACCGGGGACGAUAAUGACGGUACCCGGAGAAGAAGCCCCGGCUAACUUCGUGCCAGCCGCCGCCGUAA